RNAcentral lists this ribosomal RNA (253 nucleotides) under uncultured bacterium. RNAcentral's name for it is "partial 16S ribosomal RNA". It matches the Rfam family "Bacterial small subunit ribosomal RNA", at positions 524 to 776 of the family's 1533-position model. The record is from RNAcentral.
UACAGAGGUCUCAAGCGUUGUUCGGAAUUACUGGGCGUAAAGGGUGCGCAGGCCGCGCGGGCAGUCAAAUGUGUAAUUCAGGGGCUCAACCCCUGGACUGCGCUUGAUACUUCCGCGCUCGAACCUUGGAGAGGAGUCUGGAAUUCUCGGUGUAGCAGUGAAAUGCGUGGAUAUCGAGAAGAACACUAAGGGCGAAGGCAAGACUCUAGACAAGUGUUGACGCUCAUGCACGAAGGCUAGGGUAGCGAACGGG